RNAcentral lists this unclassified non-coding RNA (241 nucleotides) under plant metagenome. Its description in RNAcentral is "partial contains small subunit ribosomal RNA, internal transcribed spacer 1, and 5.8S ribosomal RNA". The record is from RNAcentral.
UUUCCGUAGGUGAACCUGCGGAAGGAUCAUUCACCAUAAGUGUUUUAUGGCACUUUUGAGACAAUCCAUAUCCACUUUGUGUGCAACGCUAUGAGGCCCUCUCUCGUUAUCCUUUAGGUUACGGAAGAGGGAACCUCUACAACUUACCAACAGCGCCUUUAACUUCUUUGUCUCAACAUUUGUCAUCACGAAUUACCUUAAUUCGAAAAUACAACUUUCAACAACGGAUCUCUUGGCUCUG